GUGCCCACUUUGGCAGCACAUAUACUAAAACUGGAACGACACAGAUAAGGUUAGCAUGGCCCCUGUGCAAGGAUGACACGCAAAUUCGUGAAGCGUUCUAUAUUUUU
Molecule: small nuclear RNA, 107 nt
Organism: Delphinapterus leucas (beluga whale)
Lineage: Eukaryota; Metazoa; Chordata; Mammalia; Artiodactyla; Monodontidae
Source: Ensembl